GUAGGUGGCAAGCGUUGUCCGGAAUUAUUGGGCGUAAAGCGCGCGCAGGCGGUUCUUUAAGUCUGAUGUGAAAGCCCACGGGCUCAACCGUGAGGGUCAUUGGAAACUGGAGAACUUGAGUACAGAAGAGGAAAGCGGAAUUCCACGUGUAGCGGUGAAAUGCGUAGAGAUGUGGAGGAACACCAGUGGCGAAGGCGGCUUUCUGGUCUGUAACUGACGCUGAGGCGCGAAAGCGUGGGGAGCAAACAGGAUUAGAUACCCUGGUAGUCCACGCCGUAAACGAUGAGUGCUAAGUGUUAGGGGGUUUCCGCCCCUUAGUGCUGCAGCUAACGCAUUAAGCACUCCGCCUGGGGAGUACGGCCGCAAAGGCUG
This 372-nucleotide ribosomal RNA is filed under the name uncultured organism. RNAcentral's name for it is "partial 16S ribosomal RNA". It matches the Rfam family "Bacterial small subunit ribosomal RNA", at positions 527 to 896 of the family's 1533-position model. The record is from RNAcentral.